AAUUAAUGAACUUGUUAUAAGUGUAUAUUUUGAAAAUAUAAAAAGGAGACUAACUUUCUCCAUUAAUUU
This 69-nucleotide transfer RNA is filed under the name Tiniocellus sarawacus. RNAcentral describes it as "tRNA-Ser". The record is from RNAcentral. Lineage: Eukaryota; Metazoa; Arthropoda; Insecta; Coleoptera; Scarabaeidae.